UACGGGGGGAGCAAGCGUUGUUCGGAUUUACUGGGCGUAAAGGGCGCGUAGGCGGUCAGCACAAGUCAGUUGUGAAAUCUCCGGGCUUAACUCGGAAAGGUCAACUGAUACUGUGCGACUAGAGUGCGGAAGGGGCAACUGGAAUUCUUGGUGUAGCGGUGAAAUGCGUAGAUAUCAAGAGGAACACCUGCGGCGAAGGCGGGUCUCUGGACAGUUCCUGACACUGAGGCACGAAGGCCAGGGGAGCAAACGGG
Molecule: ribosomal RNA, 254 nt
Filed under: uncultured bacterium
Lineage: Bacteria
Description: partial 16S ribosomal RNA
Rfam family: Bacterial small subunit ribosomal RNA
Source: RNAcentral